AAAAGAAAACUGGACAACUACAAGGCAAAGUAUGGGACAGCAACAAUAAAUAUUUGUGACGAAAGGUGGAAGAUGCCUCAGCGGAUAAUUGCAACUCGACCUGGUACGGCUGGUUCAGCUGAAGUUUUUGUGAGAUGGACUGGCCUUCCGCAGGUGUUGAUAAUGAAAAGGAGCUCGACGUGGUACGGCUGGUUCAGCUGAAGUUUUUGUGAGAUGGACUGGCCUUCCUUAUGAUGAAUGUACCUGGGAAAAAAUAGAGGAACCUGUGAUUGCAAAAUCAUCUCAUUUGAUUGAUCAAUUCAAUCAGUUUGAAUCCCAAGCACUGAC
Molecule: long non-coding RNA, 327 nt
Filed under: Nicotiana benthamiana
Lineage: Eukaryota; Viridiplantae; Streptophyta; Magnoliopsida; Solanales; Solanaceae
Description: long non-coding RNA (NBEN_LNC022661)
Source: RNAcentral